Phalacrocorax carbo (great cormorant) is the source of this 283-nucleotide non-coding RNA. Lineage: Eukaryota; Metazoa; Chordata; Aves; Suliformes; Phalacrocoracidae. The record is from RefSeq and is a predicted model, not a curated record.
CGUCUUUGUUGCUCUAGAAUCACGUCUGAACGUCAACAGCUGGAAAGCCCUGCUGCUACUGCCACCCUCGCCUGAGGUGAGAUGCAGACACCACAACUGGAGAAGACCUGGGCCACCCAGAUAUGUUAGGAGGCACACACAGGUAACUGUUAGUGAUGGAGCCCUGCUCUCCUGAAGACGGCUGAACGCCUGCCUGCCCAUGGGAAGCAGUGAAUGAAUCCCUUGUUUUGCUUUGCUAGCAUGCAUGACUUUUGCUUUGCCUAUUAAACUGUCUUUAUCUCAA